AUGACUGAACGCCUCUAAGUCAG
RNAcentral lists this non-coding RNA (23 nucleotides) under Arabidopsis thaliana (thale cress). The record is from RNAcentral. Lineage: Eukaryota; Viridiplantae; Streptophyta; Magnoliopsida; Brassicales; Brassicaceae. RNAcentral also lists the same sequence under 3 other names.